UACGGAGGGGGCUAGCGUUGUUCGGAAUUACUGGGCGUAAAGCGCGCGUAGGCGGACCUGCAAGUCGGGGGUGAAAGCCCGAGGCUCAACCUCGGAACUGCCUUCGAUACUGCGGGUCUCGAGUCCGGGAGAGGUGAGUGGAAUUCCUAGUGUAGAGGUGAAAUUCGUAGAUAUUAGGAAGAACACCAGUGGCGAAGGCGGCAUCCUGGACCAUGACUGACGCUGAGGAGCGAAAGCCAGGGGAGCAAACGGG
RNAcentral lists this ribosomal RNA (253 nucleotides) under uncultured bacterium. RNAcentral describes it as "partial 16S ribosomal RNA". It matches the Rfam family "Bacterial small subunit ribosomal RNA", at positions 524 to 776 of the family's 1533-position model. The record is from RNAcentral.